Molecule: long non-coding RNA, 2985 nt
Filed under: Sus scrofa (pig)
Lineage: Eukaryota; Metazoa; Chordata; Mammalia; Artiodactyla; Suidae
Description: lncRNA (ENSSSCG00005016218.1)
Source: RNAcentral
AAAGUCCAGUUGGAAAGGUUUUCCACAAACCUGAGAAUUCCUGAGAAACCCUGACAAUAUUCAGCAUUUAUGAUUACCUAGACGGACAUAUUUUAUGAAAAUUACAUUGCCUUUGAAUGCCUUCUUAUGAAGGAGCUCGAAUGUUAGGAUUCUGUUAGAAUGGAUUUCAGAACAUAUUUAACAUAUUUCCAUCUGGCAACCUUGGGAUGUCUCUCAAUAAAAGUGAUUAUGGAAGGAUUGUUAUUUGGUAUAAAAACAUUUGCUCAGGAUGGACUAGGCUUCCUGAAAAUGCUGUACAUCUUUAUGGUUGACAUUUUCGUUGUUUUGAAUUAGGUGGAUUUUUUUUUCACCGCCACUUUGAACUAUUUCACUAUAAAACUCUUCCUAUCCUACUUUAAAUAAAGCUGGCAAUUUUCCUUAACUCAAAUUAAGUCACAUUUAUGAAAAUAUUUUUAUUAGUGGGAAACCCAAGUUCCCUAUAUUCAUACAAAUAUAAUAAUGCUUGCAGAUUUUCUCAUGUCUUAGACGGGUGAUCCAAGGAGCUAAAACCAGGACUACCCCUCUAAAAUUUUAUUUUUUAAUUUUGGACUUCAUGUUUAAAGGAAAUUAAGACUUUUUUUCUUUCAAGUCCCCAAAAGGCUUCUUCAAUAAUUUGUGAGAAUUAUAGCACUUAGGAAUAGGCAAAUAAAAUAACACCAUGGAUCCAAUCUUGUGUAUGGGGAAAAGCAUUAACAUGAAGAAGCAAAGUCAAAUUCAAGGAUAAAUGGCACAAAAUUCUGGAGAGACAGGAAUGUAGAGAAGGCAUCAAUAUUCAUUCAAAGCAAAUGUGAAAGUCUUUACCCACAGGUUACUUUAGAGAUUAGGAGGAAAAAAAAAAAAAAAAAAGCCUCCGAAGGUCGAGAAGACAGUAAUUUUAGAAUGAUUCCAUGAAGGCCAGAUGUUUGUUCUGGUUUCUCUUCUGAAGCUCUGUCUCUAUGGGUCAUUUAGAGGUGUCCAGGGUUGAAUGCCAAUCCACAUGUAAAAUCUCAUCCAAGAAACCCAAAGCAUUGCCUCUUAUUUGACCAGCUAUCCUCCUCUCACUGGAAAGGAUCCCAAAGUUGAAGAGGCUACCCUUUGGAAAUAUGAACUAUGUAGAAGCUACAAUUAUUCUUUCAAGCUAUGUAAGCAAUCAAUUUUGAGGGGCUUUUGAGUGAAAGCAGAAUUUUGAAGAUGGUAGAGUGAUGCACUUUCAAUCUCUUAUUCAUCUUAAAAAUUACCCUGAAAGGAAAGAAGAACAUGAAACAGAAGAAGAGACUCCAUCUUUGAUUGAACUAGAAGGCAUGUGCAACCACAAACCGCAAUAUGUAAAGACUUAGAGUAGACAGAGAAAAGCUAAACGACGCAGCCGAGUAGAGGAAAUGUCAAAACUAAGGAUCCUCCGAAGGAAAUAUUGAUUAAAGUUGUACUAAAAGAAAAUACACAGGAAUUAGAAGCUCCAGGUACUCCAGAUGGGAUUGUUUUUACUCAGAAAGGAGAACAGGGUGACAGAAAUUGCUUAAAAGGCUAAUAGGAGGAGACUUCUACUUCUAGCAGUAUGGCAGAUUCGACACAAUAAAGUUUCCUUCUGCCAAAAUGCAAUUAGAGCUUGGAUAAACUAUAACAAAGAUCAUUUGAAUGCAUUUAGGGGUUACUAACAAGCUAGACAAGUCUCCAGCUUCCUUCCCUGUACCUUCCUCUGAGGGGAAAAUAUAUAAGCUAGCUGAAAUCUGAGUACAGAACCAUAAUAGUAACUCCAGUAACUAAGUUCUUAAGUUGUCUACCUGAUAUCAGGGGAACAAAAGUGUCGACGCCUGAGUGGGGGUUGGGAGACUCAUCAUAGGCCCACGUGAAGAUGGGAGAGAUGAAUGUGAAGCUUUCAAUUGAUCCAGGACUGGGGAAGCACACACGUGGCUCCAAUCCAGUACAUGUAAAUUCUCUCUGGAGGAAAAGUAUCCUAGAACUUCCAAAGGUUAAGUUCUACAAAGUAGGAGUACAUAGUCCAAAAUUAACCCAACAAAAAUGAAAAGAAGCCACUUGUAAGAGAUGGCUGAAGCAACUAACUUAGAUUUAGACCCUAAAAAUCUCAGAUUUUGUAAUUAACAGAUAUAGAAUAUGAAAUAACCAAGUACAAAAUUAAAAGACUGAAUUUUUUAAAGAAACCAAGAAUAAGAGGCUAUCAAACAUUGCUAAUCAUGUUAAAGAGAAGGCAAAAGAAUACCUAGAAUUAAAAUAUAUAAUAAAAUUGACAUUAUAAACUAGGUGAAUGAGUUUACCAACACCUAAGGAAAGAACUGGUGAAUGGAAAGAUAAAGCUUAAGAUAUUAUCCAUAAGGGCAGCAUAAAGAAGCAAGGAAUUAGAAAAUAUAAAAAGAUAACUAAGAAACAUGGAGGAGUUUCUGUUGUGGCUCAGCAGGUUAAGGACCCAAUGCUGUCUCUGUGAGAAUAUGGGUUUGAUCCUUGGCCUCACUCAUGGGGUUAAGGAUCCGGCACUGCUGCAAACAGCAGCAUAGGUCACAGACAUGGCUCGGAUCCAGUGUUGCCAUAGCUGUGGUGUAGGUUGCAGCUGCAGUUCUGAUCAGACCCCUGGCCUGGGAACUUCUCUAUGCCACAGGUGUGGCUGUAAAAAGAAGAAGAAAUAAAGGAAGAAAGGAAGGGAGGGAGGGAGGAAGGAAGAAAGAAAGAUGGAGAUAGAAUCAUAAAGAUGGGGCAUUCCCGUCGUGGCUCAGAGGAAACGAAUCUGACUAGUAUCCAUGAGAAUGCAGGUUCAAUCCCUGGCCUCACUCAGUGGCUUAAGGAUCCAGUGUUGCCAUGAGCUGUGGUGUAGGUCACAGACGCAGUUCAGAUCUGGUGUUGCUGUGCCUGUGGUGUAGGCCUGCAGCUGUACCUCUGAUUGGACCCCUAACCUGGGAACCUCCAUGUGCUGUGGGUGCAGCCCUAAAAAGAAAGAAAGAAAAAAAAAAAAAAAAA